This 492-nucleotide ribosomal RNA is filed under the name uncultured bacterium. RNAcentral's name for it is "partial 16S ribosomal RNA". It matches the Rfam family "Bacterial small subunit ribosomal RNA", at positions 29 to 507 of the family's 1533-position model. The record is from RNAcentral.
AUUGAACGCUGGCGGCAUGCUUUACACAUGCAAGUCGAGCGGUAACAGGCCUUCGGGUGCUGACGAGUGGCGAACGGGUGAGUAAUGCAUCGGAACGUACCCAGAGGUGGGGGAUAACGCAGCGAAAGCUGUGCUAAUACCGCAUGUGAUCUGAGGAUGAAAGCGGGGGACCGAGCAGCAAUGUUUGGCCUCGCGCCUUUGGAGCGGCCGAUGUCGGAUUAGCUAGUUGGUGGGGUAAAGGCCUACCAAGGCGACGAUCCGUAGCUGGUCUGAGAGGACGACCAGCCACACUGGGACUGAGACACGGCCCAGACUCCUACGGGAGGCAGCAGUGGGGAAUUUUGGACAAUGGGCGCAAGCCUGAUCCAGCAAUGCCGCGUGCGGGAAGAAGGCCUUCGGGUUGUAAACCGCUUUUGGCAGGAACGAAACGGUGCCCGCUAAUACCGGGCGCUAAUGACGGUACCUGCAGAAUAAGCACCGGCUAACUACGUG